GGUUAAGCGACUAAGCGUACACGGUGGAUGCCCUGGCAGUCAGAGGCGAUGAAGGACGUGCUAAUCUGCGAAAAGCGUCGGUAAGGUGAUAUGAACCGUUAUAACCGGCGAUGUCCGAAUGGGGAAACCCAGUGUGAUUCGUCACACUAUCGUUAACUGAAUACAUAGGUUAACGAGGCGAACCGGGGGAACUGAAACAUCUAAGUACCCCGAGGAAAAGAAAUCAACCGAGAUUCCCCCAGUAGCGGCGAGCGAACGGGGAGCAGCCCAGAGUCUGAAUCAGCUUGUGUGUUAGUGGAACGGUCUGGAAAGUCCGACGGUACAGGGUGAUAGUCCCGUACACCAAAAUGCACAGGCUGUGAACUCGAAGAGUAGGGCGGGACACGUGGUAUCCUGUCUGAAUAUGGGGGGACCAUCCUCCAAGGCUAAAUACUCCUGACUGACCGAUAGUGAACCAGUACCGUGAGG
This 468-nucleotide ribosomal RNA is filed under the name Pseudomonas aeruginosa. RNAcentral describes it as "partial 23S ribosomal RNA". It matches the Rfam family "Bacterial large subunit ribosomal RNA", at positions 1 to 508 of the family's 2925-position model. The record is from RNAcentral. RNAcentral also lists the same sequence under 2 other names. Lineage: Bacteria; Pseudomonadati; Pseudomonadota; Gammaproteobacteria; Pseudomonadales; Pseudomonadaceae.